This 484-nucleotide ribosomal RNA is filed under the name uncultured bacterium. RNAcentral's name for it is "partial 16S ribosomal RNA". It matches the Rfam family "Bacterial small subunit ribosomal RNA", at positions 30 to 507 of the family's 1533-position model. The record is from RNAcentral.
AUUGAACGCUGGCGGCAGGCCUAACACAUGCAAGUCGAGCGGAUGAAGGGAGCUUGCUCCUGGAUUCAGCGGCGGACGGGUGAGUAAUGCCUAGGAAUCUGCCUGAUAAUGGGGGAUAACGUCCGGAAACGGGCGCUAAUACCGCAUACGUCCUGAGGGAGAAAGUGGGGGAUCUUCGGACCUCACGCUAUCAGAUGAGCCUAGGUCGGAUUAGCUAGUUGGUGGGGUAAAGGCCUACCAAGGCGACGAUCCGUAACUGGUCUGAGAGGAUGAUCAGUCACACUGGAACUGAGACACGGUCCAGACUCCUACGGGAGGCAGCAGUGGGGAAUAUUGGACAAUGGGCGAAAGCCUGAUCCAGCCAUGCCGCGUGUGUGAAGAAGGUCUUCGGAUUGUAAAGCACUUUAAGUUGGGAGGAAGGGCAGUAAGUUAAUACCUUGCUGUUUUGACGUUACCAACAGAAUAAGCACCGGCUAACUUCGUG